GACCAGAUGAGAUAGCUCAGUUGGCAGAGCAUGAGGCUCUUAAUCUUAGAGUUGUGGGUUCGAGCCCCAUGCUGGGCA
This is a non-coding RNA of Podarcis lilfordi (Lilford's wall lizard), 78 nucleotides long. The record is from the annotation of a GenBank genome assembly. Lineage: Eukaryota; Metazoa; Chordata; Lepidosauria; Squamata; Lacertidae.